Molecule: small nuclear RNA, 176 nt
Filed under: Pseudonaja textilis
Lineage: Eukaryota; Metazoa; Chordata; Lepidosauria; Squamata; Elapidae
Description: U2 spliceosomal RNA (ENSPTXG00000016577.1)
Rfam family: U2 spliceosomal RNA (bases 1-112)
About the family: U2 is a small nuclear RNA (snRNA) component of the spliceosome (involved in pre-mRNA splicing).
Source: RNAcentral
AUUUCUUUUUUGGCCUUUUGGCUAAGAUCAAGUGUAGUAUCUGUUCUUAUCAGUUUAAUUCUGUCCAUUUUUAAUUUAAUGUCCUUUUUCUGUGGCAGUUUCUGUAACUCUUUUACAAGUCUUUUAUAAUCAUCCUCUAAUACACUGCUCAAAAAUAAAUAAAUAAGGGAACACUU